GCUCUCCUAGAAUUUGAUAUCACUGGAGGACAAGCACCAUGAUCAAAAGGAGAAUCUCUCUGAGGGCCUAAGGUUGAACCAGGAAUAGGUAGCAGGGGGAUUCACAAGAAAGAAAGUAGACAUCCCACCCAAAAUUCAUGAAUUGGUCUUUCUACAGAGCCAGUGGUAAGGUCUGAUGAGCAGUCUCAGCCUCAUCACAUUAAAAAUUUAUUUCCAUGGGCUUGGGAAAUCCUGUGAAUCCACAGGUUGUCAGUUGAAUCAGCUCAUAAAAUAAUUCUUGAGGCAUCUUGAUCUAGAUUAAAUUCACUUUGGUGUGAGCUCAAGGGAGCCUCUAAUUGUUCCACUAGAGGAUUCAGUUUAUAGCCUCUCCUCCUAAACUAUGCUAGGUGAAUGGAAUUAAGAAUUCUUAAAGUGAAGCUUGUUAAUUAAAGCUUAUUUAUUACCAUGCUUUGUAAUCAUACAGAUUACUAUUAUCAUUAUAUCAUAUAUUACAACUAUAUGGUAAUAUCAAUAAUUAUUAUUCAUUAGGUACUAGUAGAUUAUUAUUCAAUAGUCAAUAAUAUCGCAUUAUAAUCAUAUGUAAUUAUAAUUUAUAACAUUAUAUUAUUCAUGCAUCCUAAUCAGAAGAUUUGUUAAUGGUUUUGAUUUUCUAUUUCAAGAUAUAAUAAGGUUUAAAGCUUGAGCUUUCCUCACAGAUGUGAUUCCUGGAUUGAUUGUUUCUGUAUUUUGUAGCCUGAUGUCUCAUCCGAGAAGUUAUUUACCAAGAGUAUACAGGAAUUCUAUCUGGACACCAUACCACCACAUGGGAGAAGUCCUUUCAUAAGCUUAUCAGAUAGCAGCUUUAUUGUGAUAUUACCUCCAUACCACACAAUUCACU
Nomascus leucogenys (northern white-cheeked gibbon) is the source of this 877-nucleotide long non-coding RNA. RefSeq lists it as uncharacterized. The record is from RefSeq and is a predicted model, not a curated record. NCBI's taxonomy places the organism in Eukaryota, Metazoa, Chordata, Mammalia, Primates, Hylobatidae. The transcript is spliced from 3 exons.